Molecule: ribosomal RNA, 156 nt
Filed under: Brassica napus (rape)
Lineage: Eukaryota; Viridiplantae; Streptophyta; Magnoliopsida; Brassicales; Brassicaceae
Description: rRNA 5_8S_rRNA
Rfam family: 5.8S ribosomal RNA
About the family: 5.8S ribosomal RNA (5.8S rRNA) is a component of the large subunit of the eukaryotic ribosome. It is transcribed by RNA polymerase I as part of the 45S precursor that also contains 18S and 28S rRNA.
Source: RNAcentral
GACUCUCGGCAACGGAUAUCUCGGCUCUCGCAUCGAUGAAGAACGUAGCAAAAUGCGAUACUUGGUGUGAAUUGCAGAAUCCCGUGAACCAUCGAGUCUUUGAACACAAGUUGCGCCCCAAGCCUUCUGGCCGAGGGCACGUCUGCCUGGGUGUUA